This 253-nucleotide ribosomal RNA is filed under the name uncultured bacterium. Its description in RNAcentral is "partial 16S ribosomal RNA". It matches the Rfam family "Bacterial small subunit ribosomal RNA", at positions 524 to 776 of the family's 1533-position model. The record is from RNAcentral.
UACGGGGGGGGCAAGCGUUGUUCGGAAUUACUGGGCGUAAAGGGCGCGUAGGCGGCCCGCUAAGUCGAACGUGAAAUCCCCGGGCUCAACCCGGGAACUGCGUCCGAUACUGGUGGGCUCGAAUCCGGGAGAGGGAUGCGGAAUUCCAGGUGUAGCGGUGAAAUGCGUAGAUAUCUGGAGGAAUACCGGUGGCGAAGGCGGCAUCCUGGACCGACAUUGACGCUGAGGAGCGAAAGCUAGGGGAGCAAACGGG